RNAcentral lists this long non-coding RNA (570 nucleotides) under Homo sapiens (human). RNAcentral describes it as "non-protein coding lnc-IZUMO1R-1:2". The record is from RNAcentral. Lineage: Eukaryota; Metazoa; Chordata; Mammalia; Primates; Hominidae.
AGCAAUCAGCGAGACUCCGUGGGCAUAGGACCCUCUGAGCCAGGUGCGGGAUAUAAUCUCGUGGUGCACCGUUUUUUAAGCCAGUCUGAAAAGCGCAAUAUUCGGGUGGGAGUGACCCGAUUUUCCAGGACAGUGCUAGGACUGCUUUUUUCUAUAUCAGACACGUGGGCUCCUGCUGUGUCUUCCUGGAAAGCAGAGGCCAAGGAUGGAGCAGACCAAGAGGAUGCCAGGAAAAAUCACAAAGAAGCCCAGAAAGCACAGCUGGAAGCCAAGAACCCUAUUUUUGGUUUGUGUGGGUGGAAGGUGAGGGACAACAUAUAGUGACCAACAGGAUUCUUCAUUUGAAAGAGAAUGGAGUACAUCAGACCUGUGUAUUUAGGUGAAGUAUGAUAAACAUCAUCAUACUUCAAAGAUUAUGAACAUCAAAGAUUAUGGAAAGGAACAUGACUGCUUAGUUUAUUCCAUUACCAGUGAUCUGCUUGUUUGUUCAUUUGCUUACCCAUCCAUUCAUUUAUUCAUUCAUUCCUCCAUCCAUUCUCUUUCACUUAUUCUACAAUCAUGAUUGUAUGC